Molecule: ribosomal RNA, 371 nt
Filed under: uncultured Glomeromycotina
Lineage: Eukaryota; Fungi; Glomeromycota
Description: partial 18S ribosomal RNA
Rfam family: Eukaryotic small subunit ribosomal RNA
Source: RNAcentral
CCCCUUCUGAAAACCCUUACGUGCUUUAUUUUGGGGGGGGGGGAACCGACUGUUACUUUGAAAAAAAUUUAAUGUUUUAAGCGGGGGCACGCGUGGAAACAUUUUCAUGGGAAAAAGAAAAAGGACGUUUGAUCCUAUUUUGUUGGUUUCUAGGAUCGACGUAAUGAUUAAUAGGGAUAGUUGGGGGCGUUAGUAUUCAAUUGUCAGAGGAGAAAUUCUUGGAUUUAUUGAAGACUAACUACUGCGAAAACAUUUGCCAAGGAUGUUUUCUUUAAUCAAGAACAAAAGUUAGGGGAUCAAAGACGAUCAGAUACCGUCGUAGUCUUAACCAUAAACUAUGCCGACUAGGGAUCGGAUGAUGUUAUUUUUUU